RNA transcript from Drosophila yakuba, 9770 nucleotides. It is a transcript of the gene named neuronal acetylcholine receptor subunit alpha-7, with no coding region annotated. The record is from RefSeq and is a predicted model, not a curated record. The transcript is spliced from 15 exons. Lineage: Eukaryota; Metazoa; Arthropoda; Insecta; Diptera; Drosophilidae.
GCUCAGUUGGUGUUCCGGUUUCGGGUUGUGCUGUCAGUUGCCUUUUUGCACAGCGGCUGAGCGAUUGAGCGAUUGAACGAUUGAACGGUUGGACGGCUGAGCGCUGGAGCGGUUGAGAGUGUGCCAUCGGAGCCGGAGAGUCCUAACGCGCUGCCCGUGGUCUGUGUCCGCAUCCGUAUCCGUAUCUCGUAUCUCCGUGCGUCUCUCUCCGGGUGUGUGCGUGUGGUUGUGCGUGUGUUUAAGUGUGUGCCUGUUGUCUGUCGCUAACGGUGCGCGCGCGUCUGUUUGUGUGAGUGUGUGACUCUGUGCGUGCCCCUGCCAGUGUGUGUGUGUGUGCGUGUGUGUGUGUGCACAACAAUACUAUAUAUCUUAUAUACUAAUACCAGUGUGUGCCCACACUCGCACACGGCCUGCAAAUAAAAUAUUAGAAACAGAUAUAUACAACAAUUCCAGCAGCCGUCGACACGCAUGACACAUGCAAUGGAUGCCAGAACUAAUAGUGGAUAUCGGAAUAAACAAAUAUAAAGCCACAUACUCGUACAUACAAAUUUAUAAGCUAAGCAAUAUUUAAUUCGGUUGAGUGAAAUUCGCAAGAAAUAAAUCAAUUUUAAAGUUCUUCAAGCUGCGGAAACGAAUACUAAACCGCGAAAACUAUUCAAUCGCUGAACUGAAUAAACGCAUAAGCCCACGACUAAAGCAAUUUUGUAAUUCAAACAAAGGGAAAACAAACUGAAAAUAUUAAUUACUAUUAAUGGCGAUGACUACUCAAAAGCAAACGACUUGAGCCAGUUGUAAAUAUUAAAACCGACAUUAAACAUAAAAUGCAUACACACCUAAAAUUCCAAACUCACGUAAAGACAAGAGAAUUAUAAUAUCCAUACACAAAUUACCAACAAAGAAUCCAUUUAAAUACGAAGUGUUCUAUUAUAUAGAAAACGAAACUCGCAAAAGAUAUAUAAAUUCUCGAUAAGCAACUGAAACACGCACAAGAUUGAUACAAAUUUUUAAUAAUAGUACAUUAAAACAUAAGGACAGUUCCACAACAGCUCAAUUGGCUGAUAAAUCUAAGUGGGAAUAAUUCGGAAAUUCCUUGAAAGUCUUCGAUUGACGGAAUUAAAAAUUACGAUUAACUCGAUACAUACAUACAUAAUCGAUUAUAAAUAAAUAAUAAUCAUUAUUGAAUUAAAAAUAAAUUACAUCAACUUCAUUACUUAUCAACCAAAAAUUCCGGGAGACAAAUUUGAUAAAAAAGUUUAAAAAAUAUUAAUACGCAUACAACAAGUUUAAUACACGAACCAGUAAAGGGAAUAGUUCUACGAGUAAUUAUUCAACACAAUCAACGCUAUUCUUGAAUGCCAAUUGAAAAAAACUUUGAUUGCAUAACAAAUGGAGAAAGGAUAGAAGACGCCACUUUUGCAUUCACAAAUAAGGAAGAAGUCAAGUAAAUCAAUAGAAACCAAAUGCUACAAAGCACUGCCAUAUACAACUGCAAAGGAUUGCAUUAUGAGAACUAACAAUUGAGUAGCUCAACAUUUAUAGCAAAACAAUACGAAAUCUAGGUUAAUAUAGCAACUACUAUACAAAAUUGGAGCUCACGAACAAAUGAGGGAGAAAAGGCGAACAGGAGGAACAUCAACAGCAAAAUAAAAAAUUAGUAAAAAUGGAUGCAGAAUAAAGGAAGCCCAAAAACGAGAAAGAAGAAGUUGUGGUCUAAACUCUUAUUGUAAGAAAACGCAUAAAACUAAUAGAAAAACGCUCUUUGGGUUGUAAAGAAAAUAAGAAGACAAAAGAAAGACAUGAAAACGUUGCAAACAAUAAAGCAUAUACUUGCCAUAUUGAUAUAAAAGGAAAUCGUGAAAAGGCGGUGAAAAUUUCAUAAGAUUAGCAGGUAUUAAGGCCCACAGUAAAAGAGGGAACUCAACCCCCUUGCAGAACAAUGAAAGCUGCAGCAGCUGGAUAAGGCCGACUAAACCGAAAAUUAUAUUAUUGUAAUCUAGUAGAGAGCAGAGCAACAUAUCCGCUGGCAACAACCAACACCGAAAGAGACUAUGAAAAAUGCACAACUGAAACUGACUGAAGUUGACGAUGAUGAGCUGUGGUUGGCAGUAAGAUUAGCGCACUGCAGCAGCAUCAGCAGCAGCACAAAAACCACCAGCAGCCCGUGCAACAGCAGCCACCAGCGGCACAACCAGCAACUCACAACACUGCAACCAAGGAGCUUAAGUACAAAACACCACAGCAACAUUGCGAGCGAGCAGCACAAUAGCCAGCAACAGGAGCCAGCGCCGAAGGACGAGGAUGUAGCCACCCACGGGAGCAGCAAUGACCAGCAGCAACAGCAGCAGCAGCUAGACAGCAGCAGCAACAUGUUGUCGCCAAAGACAGCCGCAGCAAGUGCUGCCGGCGAGGAAGCAACAACCCAACAACCAACAAACAUAAGACUGUGUGCACGCAAGCGACAACGAUUGCGUCGCCGACGAAAAAGAAAACCAGCAACCCCAACCGAAGCAGAUAUCAAGAAACAACAGCCACUUAGCAUGCCUCCCUUCAAAACGCGCAGAUCCACGGACACCUACAGCUCACCAGCAGCAACCACUAGCUGUCCGACAGCCACCUACAUGCAAUGUCGCACCAGCGAGAACGAGUUCAGCAUUCCGAUAUCGAGUAAUGACCUCUCCCCGGCCGCCUGGGUGUUGCAUGUGCUGCAGGUGCUGCUGGUGUCGCUGCAGCAGUGGCAACUCCACGUGCAACAGCGAUCGGUGCUCCUGCUCAGAGGCAUUGCGGUGGCCACCAGCGCCUUCGUUUCCUAUUUAGGCAGCUUUGCGGCGCAACUGAGGAGCAGCAGCAGCAGCAACAGCAGCAGUGGCAACAGCAGCAACAGCGGCAACGGCAGCAGCACGCAAAUUAUAAACGGACUUAAUAAACACUCAUGGAUAUUUUUACUGAUAUAUUUGAAUUUAUCUGCUAAAGUUUGCCUAGCAGGAUAUCAUGAAAAGAGACUGUUACACGAUCUUUUGGAUCCUUAUAAUACACUAGAACGUCCCGUUCUCAAUGAAUCGGACCCGUUACAAUUAAGCUUUGGUUUAACUUUAAUGCAAAUUAUCGAUGUGGACGAGAAAAAUCAAUUGCUAGUCACUAAUGUGUGGUUGAAACUGGAGUGGAACGACAUGAAUCUCCGCUGGAACACCUCGGACUACGGCGGAGUCAAGGAUCUGCGAAUCCCGCCGCACCGCAUCUGGAAGCCAGACGUCCUCAUGUACAACAGUGCGGAUGAGGGAUUCGAUGGCACCUACCAGACGAACGUGGUGGUGCGGAACAACGGGUCGUGCCUGUACGUGCCGCCGGGGAUCUUCAAGUCGACGUGCAAGAUCGACAUCACGUGGUUUCCCUUCGACGACCAGCGGUGCGAGAUGAAGUUCGGCAGUUGGACCUACGACGGAUUCCAGCUGGAUUUACAAUUACAAGAUGAAACUGGCGGUGAUAUCAGCAGUUACGUGCUCAACGGCGAGUGGGAACUACUGGGUGUGCCCGGCAAACGUAACGAGAUCUAUUACAACUGCUGCCCGGAACCCUAUAUAGACAUCACCUUCGCCAUCAUCAUCCGCCGCCGAACACUGUACUACUUCUUCAACCUGAUCAUACCUUGUGUACUGAUUGCCUCCAUGGCCCUGCUCGGAUUCACCCUGCCGCCGGAUUCGGGUGAAAAAUUAUCACUGGGUGUUACCAUCCUGCUCUCGCUGACCGUGUUUCUCAAUAUGGUUGCCGAGACAAUGCCGGCUACUUCCGAUGCGGUGCCAUUGCUGGGUACAUAUUUCAAUUGCAUAAUGUUUAUGGUAGCUUCAUCCGUUGUGUCAACGAUUUUAAUAUUAAAUUAUCAUCAUCGAAAUGCUGAUACGCACGAAAUGUCCGAAUGGAUACGCAUCGUGUUUUUGUGCUGGCUGCCAUGGAUACUGCGAAUGAGUCGCCCAGGACGCCCGCUGAUCCUGGAGUUCCCGACCACGCCCUGUUCGGACACCUCCUCCGAGCGGAAGCACCAGAUACUCUCCGACGUUGAGCUGAAAGAGCGCUCGUCGAAAUCGCUGCUGGCCAACGUACUAGACAUCGAUGAUGACUUCCGGCACAACUGUCGCCCCAUGACGCCCGGCGGAACACUGCCACACAACCCGGCCUUCUACCGCACGGUCUAUGGACAAGGCGACGAUGGCAGCAUUGGGCCCAUUGGCAGCACCCGAAUGCCGGACGCGGUCACACAUCACACGUGCAUCAAAUCAUCAACUGAAUAUGAAUUAGGUUUAAUCUUAAAGGAAAUCCGCUUUAUAACUGAUCAGCUACGUAAAGAUGACGAGUGCAAUGACAUUGCCAAUGAUUGGAAAUUUGCAGCUAUGGUCGUUGACAGACUGUGCCUUAUCAUAUUCACAAUGUUCACAAUAUUAGCCACAAUAGCUGUACUACUAUCAGCACCACAUAUUAUUGUCUCGUAGCCAUAUGGGCGAGGUGGUUAUUGUUAUUGGUUUUAUUAUAAAAUCAAUUUGUUAAUUAUUAAAUUAAUAACGAAACUUUUUAAGUAAAUUAAACUAAAAAAGACACUAAAAAGCACAAAAAAAUAGGAAAAUACAUGAUAAAAACCAUCAACUAAAUAAUACAUCCAAAAAUCCAAAAAAAAAAAAUUCACAAAAAAAAACAAUUAAAAAUCGUCUCUGAAAACACAAUAAUUUAAUUAUAAAACUCUCGUUUAAAAGUCUUUCAUUAAAAUCAAACAGACACUAAACAAAUAAGAGACUAAACCAACAUCAUAUACUAAAACGUUAAAAAUUAACUAAUUCCAAUUUUCCUAAUUCUAUACAAAAAUCUAUAUAAUGGUAAACCAAGAAAUCCCCUCACUUCCCGCAAGCCCCCACAAGCCAGUAUCUAGAUUUCUUCCAUUGAAUAUAUAUAUAUACAUAUAUGUUUGACAAGCAAGCAAAACGGGUAUAUUUUCUUUUUAGAUUUUAUAUGUUAUAUUUUAUAGGAUAAGCGAGGCGUUUUCAUACAAAUAGUCACAUGGGUUUUCGAAACUUUUUUUUUGACUUCAAUGCAGAACAAAAGCCCCCAAACCUCCAAACCUUUAGGAAGACUUCGAUUUGUGAGCUUUAUAGUAGGAAACGUAGGUGGGAACUUUGCGACGCGUUUACCAGAUGAAAACCCAACGUAUUAGGAAUACAGAAUACAGAAUACAGACGGACAGCUAAAUUUGUAACUUCUUCUUCAGCAUUGAAGUCAGUCCAGAGAUUUGUUCCGAGCAACUUUUUGCUACCAAUUAGUACCUAGGCCAAUUAGGUGAUUACGCCACAUUCCCCCCUCUAAGCGAAACUGCAUUUCCGAAACAGAACCAAUUAACCCUACAUAUCCAGUACUGUGUAUCUAGUGCCCUCUCCCCUCUCCUCUUCUCACCAGUCUUAUGUUAAACUCAAUGUCUAAACCAAUUGAUAAAUCGAAAACCAAACCGAAUCAAAGCAAACCCCUAAGAGUAAAGCCCAAACAUUCCCCGUAAACCUUACCAAAACCAAUAGAAUAACCAAUCUGAAUUGGAAUUAAGAAAAUUAACUGGAAUAUAAAAGAGAAAAUGAAAAAUGAAAAAGAAAAAUCAAAAAGAUGCGAGUGAAAUGGGCGAGUGAAAAUGAGUAAUUGACGAGCGGCACAGCAGGUGAAUUUGAGCCCAGAAAGGCGCUCAGCAUGUGAAAUGCAUCCGAUGGAUUGCAUUUCAUGUGGACUGGCGCUGCCGAGGAAAUGAAUUUAUAAAUUAAAUGGUUGCGAGCAAUAAUAUCUGCGUGUUGAUGAAUUGCAUGAUUUUUGGUGAUGCAAACGAUGAUCGAUCGAACUAUUGCGCGAGGUCCACGACGAGGGCAAGAGUUCGCUCCUUCAGCGCAUUGAGAACAGCAAACAGUCGUAACUUUCGGUAUUGAUCUCACACAUUUUUUAUUUUGUUAUCAUUUGAACUUUUACUCUUUUGUUUAAAGUACUUAAAUACUCAAAGUUGAGGGCCCUGUACGACACCAGAAAGCAAUUCAACACAGAACACUGAAAGUGAACAGUGAACAGUGAAGAGGCCAAAUAGUUUGAUUGCAAAUGAAAGGCAAAAGGCAAGGCAGACCAAGAAGUAGAGCAUUCGAGAUAUAGCAAUAUACCAAAAUACCAAUAACAAUGAACCCAACAGACGCCAGAACACGUAACAUGCCGGUGCAUGGGUAAUUAUGUGCUUGCUUUAGUGUCGAGCGCACUGAAAACAUACUGAUCACAGACCACAACAACCAAAACAUAUAAACCAAGGAGCUUUAUACAGAUAUAUGUAUAUAUACGAUGGAGUUUAGCGUGGGCCAGUCUGACCCGACUUUUCAUAUAUUUGUACCACAAAACACAACAAAACACAACACAACACAACACACACAGGACACACACUCGGUUGUUCGAUGGCCAGUUUAUGGCAAUUUGUAUGUUUCUGUCCGCCAACUAGCCAAGCACACAAUUUCAAGAUGACCAGACAAGGAAUACAAGAAACAAAAAUCUUAAAAAUUACCAAGGUCCGGGUGAUCGGUUGGGAAAUGCGAAGGAUGAGCCGGGGAAAGUCCAAGCAGGACGAUCCCUGGGCAUUCUGCGUAUUUCCUGAUAGAGAGGAUCCCAUGGCCGAGAAUAGAAGAAAAAGCAAAGCUGCGUUGGUCGAAAUUUCACACAGACUUUUCUUUCCACACAUGAGCAAAGAAAAAAGUUCGAAAUGGAAUAGCUUUUUAAUUUUUAAGUUACAGUUAUUCUGCUUCUAAUUGUAAAUCUUGUGCAAUGUAAACAAUCAGAUUUUUUCUUUGAAUAUAAAUAUUACGAACACACCGAAACCAAAACCAAAACCAAAAGCAAAAGCAAACAAACGCGUAAGGGUCACAGUAAAGACAUAAAGUCACGAAACAAAAACAUAUAAGAUUUCAAAAUCAAUAAUGGAAAUAUGAUUAGCAACUAAACGAUGUCAUUCAACUUAGACUAGGCUACACAGAAAACCAUAAAUUGUUAAGACUCUAUCCAAAGAGCUGAGAAAGGCGAACUCAACAAAACAUACUAGAAAUAGAUUUACAAGCAACAAUAAGUGUAAUUCGAGUAACGAACAGAACGAAGAAAUAGAUAAGCAAAUAUGAAUAUUGAGGAAAUUCGUUUUUAUGUGAUUCGGUUAAAGGACAUUUUCAACGUCACUUUGUAUGCGGAUUUUGUAUGCCCAACUAUACAGAUUUCUGAUCCACUCUUUUUCGCUUGUUUUAUUUUUGAACGAUUGAACCACAUUUACAGAUAAGGUUUAGCUUUUGAUAAAAGAUUGCAAAUGUAAAAUAAUAUGAGAACUUGGAAGUUGGUAUAUUUUGAUGAAAGGUGAAAUUAUUUGUACAUUUUGUUGUAUACCCACAGGAAUAGCUUGAAAACCCAUGUAUGGGAAAUUUGAUGGUUGAAAUUUGUGGGGACUUUUCUUAAUGUUUUUGAUAAACAAGUGUUUGAUUUUGUAUGCUUUUCCAAUGCGAUUGUCAGUGAGAACGAUUAACGAUAGAUUUCAAUCCUAACGCUUAAGAAUAUUAAAGAAAUAAUAAUAGAAAACAUAGCAAACAAGCUGCCAGCAUGAAAAAUAAAAACAAUAACUAAUUUUAAAUCUUUUAUACAUUUCCAUCAAAUGUGCUUAUUUAAACACAAGAAGAGAAAGCAACCCGGAAACCGGAAACCGGAAACCAGAAAUGCCCAACUGAAAUAUCUGAUGGCCGUUUUCAAAUAGCAAUCAAUAACUGGAUUAUGUUCAAUAUCCAAUUAGCUGAAGUUGAACGAAAGUUUUCAUAUAAGCAAUUUUUAAAGAAAAAGUCACCCCAGUAAAUAAAUACAUAGAAAUAGUAAGGCUAUCCGGCUAUCGAGGCCAUAGAAUGGAGCAGAAUGAUGGAGAUUAUAACUAAUAAAGUUCUAGUGCAUAAAGAGGACAGUUUGGAAAAUAGUUCUUCAUCAACCAUUAAUACACAGUUUAUACAUAUAUGUGUAUAUUUACAUGGAUAUAUAUGUGCAUACGUAUAUACUUCUUUUUACACAGACAAACAAGUAUAUAUAUAAAUAUAUAUAUAGUAUACUAUGUAAUAAAUUAUAAAAGAAAAUAUUUGAAACAAAUGAAACUUUUUCCUACAACUAGUUGCAUUUAAAAGAAUUUUAAAAAAUAUACAUAAAAAGUAUAAAUUUCUUAAAAAACAUAAAAAGCAAAAACCAAACUCCUUUCUCUAUUAAAAAAAAAUAAAAUGAAAAACACACAAAACUUUAAAUUAAUAUUUAAUUAGUCAUUUAAAAAGGGUUUAGUAAAAACCAAAUCAAGCGGGAUGAAAUCGUAACCUAGUAAAUAUUUAAAUUAAAUUAAUUUUAAAACGUGAAAAGAAACAAAGAACACAGAAAAGAGAAAACAAAAACAGAAAACAAAAGAAAAGCGCUGAUUUUUUAUGUCGUUAUUAGUAUUUAAAUUUAAAUAAUUGCGUAUAAAGAAACAUACAGAAUUAACUAAAGAACACAAGAUAUAUGACAUAAAAAAUUAGAAGAAAAUUUAAAUUGGUCAUUUUGACCUAAAUAGUAAAUUAUAGAAGGAAAAUAAUAUAAAGUUGAAAGGAAACAAUGACGAAACAGAAGCAAAACCGAGUAAAGCGAUUGUAAAAUUUUAAUUAUUAUUCAAUAAUAAAAAUUCAAAAAGAAAAGAUUUGACAGAAAUACCAAAAACACAUUAGGUUUUAUUCCCAACAAAAUUAAGGAUCCCUGGACCAAGGACGAGGACUCUGAGGACGAAGUCGACGUUGCAUCCUGAAGUCGGAAAGGUAAAUUGUGUUAUGCUCUAGAAAAAGCUGAGAGUUAGGCUUAAGGAACUCACGCAUAUAUUACGAAAAUGUAAAUAUACUGUAUCGAUGUUCAUGGAAACCAAUUCAUAUUGUCAUAAACUCAUUGCAAGACAACACCAUACACUGUAAAAAAUCAAUGCCUAGAUUACGUAGCAAUUACGCUGUGACGAAUGGACAAGCAAGCGUUAUGUAUACUGAAAACCAGAAACCAAAUCGUUUGACGUUUAUAUUCAAAGUGGUAAAAUUUCGAAACUAAUUUCCCAAAAAUAGAGUUUUUGGCGAAUUUUACUAAAGGAAAAUUCUGAUCCCCGCGCAGUUUGUCAACAACCAGCUGAAAUCCAAAUUAAAAUCCAGUUCCUUCUUUACGAUAUUCCCAUAACAGAAACAAUUAUAUAACAAAACCCAAAUAUCCAGCUAGUCAAACCACAGAUUUCAAAUAAAAAACAGCUGGAGGAAUGCUGCGUGUAUGUAUAACCAGUUGAUUUCAUUUUUCCCCUGCGGAAAGUAAAACUGUAAGCUGUAAGAAAUUGUCCCAUUUUUAUCCCAAUAUUUUGGCAUGUUUUCUUUACAACCUUCUUCCAUUUAUUUCCAACGUCCAAUCAAUAGCCUAAUUUCUAAAAUCGAUCCAAACUAGAUUAAACUUUCAGUCACAUUUACUCUCCUCCUGCACUUUUGUAUACAUUUGCUUAUGCAUGAUAUUUUUAAAAAUGAUCAAUUAUUCUCGACUAAAAUAAUUCCUUUACGUCUAAUCCGUUUACAACUGCUAACAUUAUCGGGAGAUUUUCGAGGAAUAAAAUUAGCCUGGGUCCAGUGAAAGAUCAUCAUGCAUUAACAAACUUAUAACAAAUGAUAAUGUUGUCUGUCUUUAUUAUUAAUUAUAAUUUCGAGAAAAAUAAAUUUUAUAAUGUUUAA